UGAGAUGCUGAUGGGGAUCUAUGAACGGAUC
Molecule: non-coding RNA, 31 nt
Filed under: Homo sapiens (human)
Lineage: Eukaryota; Metazoa; Chordata; Mammalia; Primates; Hominidae
Source: RNAcentral